Molecule: ribosomal RNA, 195 nt
Filed under: uncultured eukaryote
Lineage: Eukaryota
Description: partial 18S ribosomal RNA
Rfam family: Eukaryotic small subunit ribosomal RNA
Source: RNAcentral
CCAAACCUGGUUGAUCCUGCCAGUAGUCAUAUGCUUGUCUCAAAGAUUAAGCCAUGCAUGUCUAAGUGUAAAUAAGUCUACACUGUGAAACUGCGAAUGGCUCAUUAAAUCAGUUAUCGUUUAUUUGAUGGUCCCUUACUACAUGGAUAACCGUAGUAAUUCUAGAGCUAAUACAUGCAUUCAGCCCCGACUUCG